AGGGAGGAGGGAGGGUGCUGCUGUUCAGAGGGACAGACGCACAGAGGACACGGGAGCAUCCUCCAUUCAUCCUCAGUGAAAUAGCACCAACCCCGCGUGUCUGCAAGUUACCUGAUCUCAGCAGCUGCCGGCACCUUGGCUUUCCACAGGAUAUUAGUCUAGCCUCAUUAAAGGAAGACAUUAAGAGCAGGAUGUCCACUGACUGGAGUCGAGACACUCAUCUGUCCAAGUGCCAUCUUCAAAGAAAAUAAGGCAGGGAAAUAUACUGCGAACAUGAUCUUUACACUGAUAACAGCAGGUGAAGGCAAUGGAUAUGAAGACAGUCGUUAUAAUGAUUAUAUAGUACAGAGACAUGGUGUAUUUUUGUCAUAAAAGUAAAAUGCUGCCUCUUUUUAAAGCCUGUUAAUAAAAAUCAA
This is a long non-coding RNA of Thunnus maccoyii (southern bluefin tuna), 416 nucleotides long. RefSeq lists it as uncharacterized. The transcript is spliced from 3 exons. The record is from RefSeq and is a predicted model, not a curated record. NCBI's taxonomy places the organism in Eukaryota, Metazoa, Chordata, Actinopteri, Scombriformes, Scombridae.